AUUGAACGCCGGCGGCAGGCCUAACACAUGCAAGUCGAGCGGAUGACGGGAGCUUGCUCCUUGAUUCAGCGGCGGACGGGUGAGUAAUGCCUAGGAAUCUGCCUGGUAGUGGGGGACAACGUUUCGAAAGGAACGCUAAUACCGCAUACGUCCUACGGGAGAAAGCAGGGGACCUUCGGGACUUGCGCUAUCAGAUGAGCCAAGGUCGGAUUAGCUAGUUGGUGGGGUAAUGGCUCACCAAGGCGACGAUCCGUAACUGGUCUGAGAGGAUGAUCAGUCAUACUGGAACUGAGACACGGUCCAGACUCCUACGGGAGGCAGCAGUGGGGAAUAUUGGACAAUGGGCGAAAGCCUGAUCCAGCCAUGCCGCGUGUGUGAAGAAGGUCUUCGGAUUGUAAAGCACUUUAAGUUGGGAGGAAGGGCAGUAAGUUAAUACCUUGCUGUUUUGACGUUACCGACAGAAUAAGCACCGGCUAACUCUGUGCCAGCCGCCGCCGUAA
Molecule: ribosomal RNA, 500 nt
Filed under: uncultured bacterium
Lineage: Bacteria
Description: partial 16S ribosomal RNA
Rfam family: Bacterial small subunit ribosomal RNA
Source: RNAcentral